GGGGAGGUAGCAUAACUGGCUAAUGCACCGCAUUUGCACUGCGGAUUAUUGGGUUCGAGUCCCACCUGCUCCA
RNAcentral lists this transfer RNA (73 nucleotides) under Caudoviricetes sp. RNAcentral's name for it is "tRNA-Ala". It matches the Rfam family "tRNA". Rfam says of the family: Transfer RNA (tRNA) molecules are approximately 80 nucleotides in length. Their secondary structure includes four short double-helical elements and three loops (D, anti-codon, and T loops). The record is from RNAcentral. Lineage: Duplodnaviria; Heunggongvirae; Uroviricota; Caudoviricetes.